This 182-nucleotide small nuclear RNA is filed under the name Capsicum annuum. RNAcentral's name for it is "U2 spliceosomal RNA". It matches the Rfam family "U2 spliceosomal RNA". From Rfam's summary of the family: U2 is a small nuclear RNA (snRNA) component of the spliceosome (involved in pre-mRNA splicing). Complementary binding between U2 snRNA (in an area lying towards the 5' end but 3' to hairpin I) and the branchpoint sequence (BPS) of the intron results the bulging out of an unpaired adenosine, on the BPS, which initiates a nucleophilic attack at the intronic 5' splice site, thus starting the first of two transesterification reactions that mediate splicing. Lineage: Eukaryota; Viridiplantae; Streptophyta; Magnoliopsida; Solanales; Solanaceae. The record is from Rfam by way of RNAcentral.
AUAUCUUUCUCAAUCCUUUGGCUAAGAUCAAGCAAAGUGUAUGUUCUUAUCUUUUAAUAUCUGAUAUGUGGAUCAUUGCACCACACAAUAUUAACUAAAAAGGUCCAUCAGGGUAUCUUGCUGUCUCGGCCUUCACGUGCCACCUAAGCAUUGCACUACAUCGCAGGCGUAGCACACCCCAU